GCACUGUCUCAACGAGAGACUCGGUGAAAUCAUAGUACCUGUGAAGAUGCAGGUUACCCGCGACAGGACGGAAAGACCCCGUGGAGCUUUACUGUAGCCUGAUAUUGAAAUUCGGCACAGCUUGUACAGGAUAGGUAGGAGCCUUUGAAACGUGAGCGCUAGCUUACGUGGAGGCGUUGGUGGGAUACUACCCUAGCUGUGUUGGCUUUCUAACCCGCACCACUUAUCGUGGUGGGAGACAGUGUCAGGCGGGCAGUUUGACUGGGGCGGUCGCCUCCUAAAAGGUAACGGAGGCGCUCAAAGGUUCCCUCAGAAUGGUUGGAAAUCAUUCAUAGAGUGUAAAGGCAUAAGGGAGCUUGACUGCGAGACCUACAAGUCGAGCAGGGU
This 387-nucleotide ribosomal RNA is filed under the name Listeria monocytogenes. Its description in RNAcentral is "partial 23S ribosomal RNA". It matches the Rfam family "Bacterial large subunit ribosomal RNA", at positions 2013 to 2399 of the family's 2925-position model. Lineage: Bacteria; Bacillati; Bacillota; Bacilli; Caryophanales; Listeriaceae. The record is from RNAcentral.